UACAGAGGUGGCAAGCGUUGUUCGGAAUUACUGGGCGUAAAGGGCGCGUAGGCGGCCUUCUAAGUCGGACGUGAAAGCCCCAGGCUUAACCUGGGAACUGCGUCCGAUACUGGAAGGCUUGGAUUCGGGAGAGGGAUGUGGAAUUCCGAGUGUAGAGGUGAAAUUCGUAGAUAUUCGGAAGAACACCAGUGGCGAAGGCGGCUCACUGGACUGGUAUUGACGCUGAGGUGCGAAAGCGUGGGGAGCAAACAGG
RNAcentral lists this ribosomal RNA (253 nucleotides) under uncultured bacterium. RNAcentral's name for it is "partial 16S ribosomal RNA". It matches the Rfam family "Bacterial small subunit ribosomal RNA", at positions 524 to 776 of the family's 1533-position model. The record is from RNAcentral.